RNAcentral lists this ribosomal RNA (254 nucleotides) under uncultured bacterium. RNAcentral describes it as "partial 16S ribosomal RNA". It matches the Rfam family "Bacterial small subunit ribosomal RNA", at positions 524 to 776 of the family's 1533-position model. The record is from RNAcentral.
UACGGGGGAUGCAAGCGUUAUCCGGAUUUAUUGGGUUUAAAGGGUGCGUAGGCUGUGAGGUAAGUCAGCGGUGAAAUGCCCCCGCUCAACGGGGUGAAGUGCCAUUGAUACUGCCUUGCUGGUAUGCGGAUGCCGUGGGAGGAAUGUGUGGUGUAGCGGUGAAAUGCAUAGAUAUCACACAGAACACCGAUUGCGAAGGCAUCUCACGAAUCCGCUAUUGACGCUGAUGCACGAAAGCGUGGGUAUCAAACGGG